UGGAUCCAGACUUUGAUCCUGGCUCAGGAUGAACGCUAGCUACAGGCUUAACACAUGCAAGUCGAGGGGAAACGACAUCGAAAGCUUGCUUUUGAUGGGCGUCGACCGGCGCACGGGUGAGUAACGCGUAUCCAACCUGCCCACCACUUGGGGAUAACCUUGCGAAAGUAAGACUAAUACCCAAUGAUAUCUCUAGAAGACAUCUGAAAGAGAUUAAAGAUUUAUCGGUGAUGGAUGGGGAUGCGUCUGAUCAGCUUGUUGGCGGGGUAACGGCCCACCAAGGCAACGAUCAGUAGGGGUUCUGAGAGGAAGGUCCCCCACAUUGGAGCUGAGACACGGUCCAAACUCCUACGGGAGGCAGCAGUGAGGAAUAUUGGUCAAUGGACGAGAGUCUGAACCAGCCAAGUAGCGUGCAGGAUGACGGCCCUAUGGGUUGUAAACUGCUUUUAUAAGGGAAUAAAGUGAGUCCCGUGAGACUUUUUGCAUGUACCUUAUGAAUAAGGACCGGCUAACUCCGUGCCAGCAGCCGCGGUAAUACGGAAGGUCCGGGCGUUAUCCGGAUUUAUUGGGUUUAAAGGGAGCGUAGGCCGGAGAUUAAGCGUGUUGUGAAAUGUAGACGCUCAACGUCUGCACUGCAGCGCGAACUGGUUUCCUUGAGUACGCACAAAGUGGGCGGAAUUCGUGGUGUAGCGGUGAAAUGCUUAGAUAUCACGAAGAACUCCGAUUGCGAAGGCAGCUCACUGGAGCGCAACUGACGCUGAAGCUCGAAAGUGCGGGUAUCGAACAGGAUUAGAUACCCUGGUAGUCCGCACGGUAAACGAUGGAUGCCCGCUGUUGGUCUGAAUAGGUCAGCGGCCAAGCGAAAGCAUUAAGCAUCCCACCUGGGGAGUACGCCGGCAACGGUGCAACUCAAAUGAAUUGACGGA
RNAcentral lists this ribosomal RNA (926 nucleotides) under uncultured Bacteroidota bacterium. Its description in RNAcentral is "bacterial SSU rRNA". It matches the Rfam family "Bacterial small subunit ribosomal RNA", at positions 1 to 917 of the family's 1533-position model. The record is from RNAcentral. Lineage: Bacteria; Pseudomonadati; Bacteroidota.